UGGGGUUUAGCCAAGCGGUAAGGCAAAAGAUUUUGAUUCUUUCACGCGGUGGUUCGAAUCCACCAUCCCCAGCCA
RNAcentral lists this transfer RNA (75 nucleotides) under Mycoplasmataceae bacterium. Its description in RNAcentral is "tRNA-Gln". It matches the Rfam family "tRNA". Rfam says of the family: Transfer RNA (tRNA) molecules are approximately 80 nucleotides in length. Their secondary structure includes four short double-helical elements and three loops (D, anti-codon, and T loops). Lineage: Bacteria; Bacillati; Mycoplasmatota; Mollicutes; Mycoplasmatales; Mycoplasmataceae. The record is from RNAcentral.